RNAcentral lists this ribosomal RNA (492 nucleotides) under uncultured bacterium. Its description in RNAcentral is "partial 16S ribosomal RNA". It matches the Rfam family "Bacterial small subunit ribosomal RNA", at positions 29 to 507 of the family's 1533-position model. The record is from RNAcentral.
AGUGAACGCUGGCGGUAUGCUUAACACAUGCAAGUCGAACGGCAGCUCAGUAGGUGCUUGCUCUCACGGGUGGCGCGUGGCGGACGGGGGCGGCAUACAUCGGAAUAUACUUAUUCGUGGGUGCUAAUGUAGGGAAACUCACGCUAUUAACGCAUACUACCUACAGGUGAAAGCAGCGGAAGUUCGGACCUUGCGCGAUUGAAUGAGCUGAUGUCGGAUUAGUUAGUUGGUGGGGUCAAGGCCCACCAAGGCGACGAUCGGUAGCUGGUCUGAGAGGAUGGUCAGCCACACUGGAACAGAGACACGGUCCAGACUCCUAAGGGAGGCAGCAGUGGAGAAUAUUGGACAAUGGAGGAAAGCCUGAUCCAGCCAUACCGCGUAAGUGAAGAAGGCGUUCGGGUUGUAAAGCCAUUUUGUUGGGAAAGAAAAGCAGCAGGUUAAUACACCACUGUUCUGACGGUACCCAAAGAAUAAGCACCGGCUAACUCCGUG